CUACGGGGGGCAGCAGUGGGGAAUAUUGGACAAUGGGGGAAACCCUGAUCCAGCAAUGCCGCGUGUGUGAAGAAGGCCUGCGGGUUGUAAAGCACUUUCGGUUGGGAGGACUGCUUCUAGCACUAAUAUUGUUGGAAGUUGACGUUACCUUCAGAAGAAGCACCGGCUAACUCCGUGCCAGCAGCCGCGGUAAUACGGAGGGUGCAAGCGUUAAUCGGAAUUACUGGGCGUAAAGCGCGCGUAGGCGGCUAGAUCAGUCGGGUGUGAAAGCCCCGGGCUUAACCUGGGAACUGCAUCCGAUACUGUCUAGCUUGAGUACAGGAGAGGGGAGUGGAAUUCCACAUGUAGCGGUGAAAUGCGUAGAUAUGUGGAGGAACACCAAUGGCGAAGGCAGCUCUUUGGCCUGAUACUGACGCUGAGGUGCGAAAGCGUGGGGAGCAGACAGGAUUAGAUACCCUAGUAGUC
RNAcentral lists this ribosomal RNA (465 nucleotides) under uncultured bacterium. Its description in RNAcentral is "partial 16S ribosomal RNA". It matches the Rfam family "Bacterial small subunit ribosomal RNA", at positions 339 to 795 of the family's 1533-position model. The record is from RNAcentral.